AUGAUCCAGAGUACCACGGGACACGUGAAACCCUGUGGGAAGCAGGAGGGACCACCCUCCAAGGCUAAAUACUACCUAGUGACCGAUAGCGUAUAGUACCGUGAGGGAAAGGUGAAAAGAACCCCGGGAGGGGAGUGAAAUAGAACCUGAAACCCUGCACUUACAAGCUGUGGAAGCACAUUUCUUGUGUGACCGCGUACUUUUUGUAGAACGGGCCAACGAGUUACGUUAAGUAGCAAGGUUAAGCACUUAAGGUGUGGAGCCGUAGCGAAAGCGAGUUUUAACUGAGCGUUCAGUUACUUGACGUAGACCCGAAACCGGGCGACCUACCCAUGAGCAGGAUGAAGCGAAAGUAAAAUUUCGUGGAGGUCCGAACCCACGAGCGUUGAAAAGCUCGGGGAUGACUUGUGGGUAGCGGUGAAAUUCCAAUCGAGCCCGGAGAUAGCUGGUUCUCCCCGAAAUAGCUUUAGGGCUAGCCUCAAGGUGAGAGAUACGGAGGUAGAGCACUGAAUGUCCUAGGGGGUAUUGCACCUACCGAAGACUAUCAAACUCCGAAUGCCGUCAUCUUAUACUUGGGAGUCAGACUGUGGGUGAUAAGAUUCAUAGUCGAAAGGGCAACAGCCCAGAUCGUCAGCUAAGGUCCCUAAAUGUAAGUUAAGUGGUAAAGGAUGUGGGAUUGCACAGACAACCAGGAUGUUGGCUUAGAAGCAGCCACUCAUUCAAAGAGUGCGUAAUAGCUCACUGGUCGAGUGAUCCUGCGCCGAAGAUUUCCGGGGCUAAAACUUACUACCGAAGCUACGGCAUCAGUAAUGAUGGGUAGGGGAGCUUCCCAUACGGGUUGAAGCAUGACCGUAAGGACAUGUGGACAGUAUGGGAGUGAGAAUGUUGGCAUGAGUAGCGAGAUGUGGGUGAGAAUCCCACAGGCCGUAAACCCAAGGUUUCCAGGGGAAGGUUCGUCCGCCCUGGGUUAGUCGGGACCUAAGCUGAGGCCGAAAGGCGUAGGUGAUGGACAACAGGUUGAUAUUCCUGUACUACCGAUAACCGUUUGAGAGAAGGGAUGACACAGUAGGAUAAGCUAAGCACACUGUUGGUUAUGUGUGCCCAAGCAUUGAGGCAGUCAAAGUAGGCAAAUCCGCUUUGAUAAUGCUGGGAUGUGAUGGGGAGCGAAAUUUAGUAGCGAAGUAGCUGAUUUCACACUGUCAAGAAAAGUCUCUAUCGAGGUUAAAGGUACCCGUACCGCAAACCGACACAGGUGGGUGAGGAGAGUAUCCUAAGGCCAGCGAGAGAACUGUUGUUAAGGAACUCGGCAAAAUGACCCCGUAACUUAGGGAUAAGGGGUGCCACCAUCAGGUGGCCGCAGAGAAUAGGCCCAAGCGACUGUUUACCAAAAACAUAGGUUUCUGCUAAGUCGCAAGACGAUGUAUAGGAGCUGACGCCUGCCCGGUGCUGGAAGGUUAAGGGGAUCUGUUAGAGCAAUCGAAGCAGUGAACUUAAGCCCCAGUAAACGGCGGCCGUAACUAUAACGGUCCUAAGGUAGCGAAAUUCCUUGUCGGGUAAGUUCCGACCCGCACGAAAGGCGUAACGAUUUGGGCACUGUCUCAACAACAGACUCGGUGAAAUUGUAAUUCCGGUGAAGAUGCCGGAUACCUGCGACAGGACGGAAAGACCCCAUGGAGCUUUACUGUAGCUUGACAUUGGGUCUUGGUACUACAUGUACAGGAUAGGUGGGAGGCUUUGAAACCAGGACGCCAGUUUUGGCGGAGCCAUCCUUGGGAUACCACCCUUGUAGUACUGGGACUCUAACCAUAGGCCAUGAAUCUGGUCUUGGGACACUGUCAGGUGGGCAGUUUGACUGGGGCGGUCGCCUCCCAAAAGGUAACGGAGGCGCUCAAAGGUUCUCUCAGUACGGUCGGAAAUCGUACGUAGAGUGUAAAGGCAAAAGAGAGCUUGAUUGCAAGACAUACAGGUCGAGCAAGGAUGAAAAUCGGACUUAGUGAUCCGGUGGUUCUGCGUGGAAGGGCCAUCGCUCAACGGAUAAAAGCUACCCUGGGGAUAACAGGCUUAUCUCCCCCAAGAGUCCACAUCGACGGGGAGGUUUGGCACCUCGAUGUCGGCUCAUCACAUCCUGGGGCUGUAGUAGGUCCCAAGGGUUGGGCUGUUCGCCCAUUAAAGUGGUACGCGAGCUGGGUUCAGAACGUCGUGAGACAGUUCGGUCCCUAUCCGUCGCAGGCGUAGGAAAUUUGAGAAGACCUGUCCUUAGUACGAGAGGACCGGGAUGGACGUACCUCUGGUGUACCAGUUGUUCUGCCAAGGGCAUGGCUGGGUAGCUAUGUACGGAAUGGAUAAGCGCUGAAAGCAUCUAAGCGCGAAGCCAACUUCAAGAUAAGAUUUCCCACCGCAAGGGUAAGACCCCAGAAAGACUAUCUGGUUGA
RNAcentral lists this ribosomal RNA (2432 nucleotides) under Clostridioides difficile. Its description in RNAcentral is "bacterial LSU rRNA". It matches the Rfam family "Bacterial large subunit ribosomal RNA", at positions 402 to 2856 of the family's 2925-position model. The record is from RNAcentral. Lineage: Bacteria; Bacillati; Bacillota; Clostridia; Peptostreptococcales; Peptostreptococcaceae.